RNAcentral lists this transfer RNA (71 nucleotides) under Batillaria cumingii. RNAcentral describes it as "tRNA-Ile". Lineage: Eukaryota; Metazoa; Mollusca; Gastropoda; Batillariidae. RNAcentral also lists the same sequence under 1 other name. The record is from RNAcentral.
AGUACCACGCCGGGCUGAACGGAAAUCAUUGAUGUUGAUUAAUACGGGGAUGUUUAUUACCUCUGGUGCUA